This 253-nucleotide ribosomal RNA is filed under the name uncultured bacterium. RNAcentral's name for it is "partial 16S ribosomal RNA". It matches the Rfam family "Bacterial small subunit ribosomal RNA", at positions 524 to 776 of the family's 1533-position model. The record is from RNAcentral.
UACAGAGGUCUCAAGCGUUGUUCGGAUUCAUUGGGCGUAAAGGGUGCGUAGGCGGCGCGGUAAGUCGGGUGUGAAAUCUCGGAGCUUAACUCCGAAACUGCAUUCGAUACUGCCGUGCUUGAGGACUGGAGAGGAGACUGGAAUUUACGGUGUAGCGGUGAAAUUCGUAGAUAUUGGGAAGAACACCGGUGGCGAAGGCGGCGAGCUGGUCCAUUACUGACGCUGAGGCGCGACAGCGUGGGGAGCAAACAGG